CAAGAUAUAGCGUAAUGGCUAACGCGUUUGCUUUGGGAGCAAAAAAUUAUAGGUUCGAGUCCUAUUAUUUUGA
RNAcentral lists this transfer RNA (73 nucleotides) under Cafileria marina. RNAcentral describes it as "tRNA-Pro". It matches the Rfam family "tRNA". Rfam says of the family: Transfer RNA (tRNA) molecules are approximately 80 nucleotides in length. Their secondary structure includes four short double-helical elements and three loops (D, anti-codon, and T loops). The record is from RNAcentral. Lineage: Eukaryota; Bigyra; Bicosoecida.